Mercurialis annua (annual mercury) is the source of this 421-nucleotide long non-coding RNA. RefSeq lists it as uncharacterized. The record is from RefSeq and is a predicted model, not a curated record. The transcript is spliced from 3 exons. Lineage: Eukaryota; Viridiplantae; Streptophyta; Magnoliopsida; Malpighiales; Euphorbiaceae.
AAAAAUCUUCACGUAUCCCACUAGUUCAGUAUUAGCCGCCGAACAUAACUCCCAUUUUCUCUAUUUCUUAAAAACAAUCUGACUCAAACGUAAACCGUCGGUGCCUUUCUCUUCCAUGUUAAUGAAAAGCUCUAUACAUGAGGUUAUGGCUCAAAUUCUCGCAUGACAAAAUCGAUGGAUCUGCAAACAUCAAAGCAUCUACAUAGUAAGGAUAUAAUUACGUAUGACGGGAUCCGUGCUUGGAAUUGGAAUUAAAGUUUUAGUCUAUGUAAUUACUAAGGAAAUUAUUUAUGUUAAUGAAUCUUUAGUGAUUUUGGUAUUGUCAUUAUUUUAAUUGACAUUAUUUACUCGAGUAUUCGACUGGCUAAAUGUGUAUUAAGAUUAUUCAUGAAUAGUAAUUUUAGCAGUUCUUUCUUUUGUA